GGGUUGUGAGGUUAAGCGACUAAGCGUACACGGUGGAUGCCCUGGCAGUCAGAGGCGAUGAAGGACGUGCUAAUCUGCGAUAAGCGCCGGUAAGGUGAUAUGAACCGUUAUAACCGGCGAUUUCCGAAUGGGGAAACCCAGUGUGAUUCGUCACACUAUCAUUAACUGAAUCCAUAGGUUAAUGAGGCGAACCGGGGGAACUGAAACAUCUAAGUACCCCGAGGAAAAGAAAUCAACCGAGAUUCCCCCAGUAGCGGCGAGCGA
This 264-nucleotide ribosomal RNA is filed under the name Salmonella enterica subsp. enterica serovar Typhimurium. Its description in RNAcentral is "partial 23S ribosomal RNA". It matches the Rfam family "Bacterial large subunit ribosomal RNA", at positions 1 to 256 of the family's 2925-position model. Lineage: Bacteria; Pseudomonadati; Pseudomonadota; Gammaproteobacteria; Enterobacterales; Enterobacteriaceae. The record is from RNAcentral.